Molecule: long non-coding RNA, 2369 nt
Organism: Tachysurus fulvidraco (yellow catfish)
Lineage: Eukaryota; Metazoa; Chordata; Actinopteri; Siluriformes; Bagridae
Exons: 2
Source: RefSeq, a predicted model, not a curated record
CAGAAGACACCGGAACAUCGUCUGACUACUCUGACUACGAUAGUUCAGAUUUUUUGGAUACCGUCUACGAAGGAGUAAGAAACUACAUUCAAUCCGUUGAAGAAAAUUUCAACAUUGGAGAUGUCGGUGCUAACGUAACCGGAGGUGGCUUUGAAGGACAAGAAAAUUUCAACAUUGGAGAUGUCGGUGCUAACGUAACCGGAGGUGUCUUUGAAGGACAAGAAAAUUUCAACAUUGGAGACACUCUUAAGGAUUUUUUUCAGCCAUUUCCGGCUUGAGCGACGUAAUAAUCUAUGUAGGUUUGCGGGUUAACCCGGCCUCUCUCUAUCAUUUUAUUUAUUUAUUUAUUUUUUACAAAUGGAAGGCAUGUUUUAGCUGGUCUGAAGUGUAGUUUAGCUAUAAACUUCCCGUAAGUAAAAGGUACGUGUUUGUUCUGAUCCGACUUGACUUCGAUUAAAAUGUCUGUAAUGUGGUUCUUGAUGAGCGGCACGUAGUGUGGCUUAUUGUAAGUAAUAUUGAUGACUCAGUUGUUUUCACCCGUUAUAUGUACGGCUCUGAGUAAUGGUGCAAAGCUGUCACCGACUCUUUGGUACUCGAUAAUGUCCGUAUAUACAUACAUUGUGUAAAAUCCGGCGUGAAUAUCAGCGGGAUGCGGUGCUUCUGGGACGAGGUGCGUUAUUGCAUUAUACGGGGUCAUGCCGAGCAUAUAUGCUAAUUUUCCGCUGGUUUUGAAGAAAUACGGUUUUGAGGUGUCCAUGUAUUUUAUUUUUCACAGGGUUAUAGACUAUAGUAAUGCUGAGUUUGGAUAUUUGCAUUACUUCAUUGAUUUCUUUAACUAGAUCUUCAAUACUUUUAUAAUAUCCGUGAUUUAUCUUAAAUGAUACUCUGCUUACCCCUUUACCCUCCCUCCAACCAACGGAACACGCGGAGUCUUCCUCUGACAAUGUAUUCCAACUGUGCACAUAUUGAACUUCUGAAAGCGAAACUUCCCAAUUUCCUUUCAAAUCAAUGGGUUUGGCAAAUUUAGUUGUAUAUUGAGAUAUUUUGUUAUUAGGGUAAAUGUCCUUCCACGCGUUGCUCGGAAGAGUCACAUAGAAUGCACACUCGUCCAUGGUUAUCAAUUAUAGUUGAUCGCUAUGAUUGUGAUGAGUCUUUUUAAACACUAAAGUUCAAUGUUUACUACAUCUUCAGCAAGCACCCAGGAAUUAAAUUUUUCAGGCCAGCCCAACCAUUUCACCAGACAGACCUUUUUCCUGUUUUGAAUCUUUUCAGACAGGAUUUUCUCUAUUUUGAACGAUCUGUCAUUACCUAUUAUGAUUUUUUGUAACUCAGGUUCGUAAAACGUUCCCUCAAUUUUUUCACCAUCAUAGUCUCGUAAUUUAUAUACAAGGGGGUCUCUAGGGAUCUGCUCGGAAAUUUAAAAAUAUACAUCUGUAAAAUUUUGGUCGUUUCCUUUUUCAAACUGUCCUUUCGAACGGGCUAUUCUAACAACGUCACCGGUUUUAAACUUGAAUUUUAUUUUCUUGGGUUUUAAUGACUGUAACCCAUAAAGAGUUUUAAAUACUGUGAAAGAAUUGGUUUUGGUGACCUCAGCAGGUUUCAUUUUGAUGCUGGAAUGACGGUUGUGGUUAUAAGCAUGAACCAUUUCCUGCACCCUGUCCGUGUAUUUUCUCAUGUUAAACGCUGUAAAAUAUCUCCACAUCUUGGUCUUUAGUGUUUUGUUGAACCUUUCACAUACUGCAGCUUUCUGAUCGGUGCCCGUGGCAAAAUGUAUAAUGUUGUGUUUUUUCAUUAAGUUUUGAAAGGUUUUGUUAAAAAAUUCUUUCCCUUGAUCAGUUUGUAAUUUUUUUGGGACUCUACCUUCCCUUAGAAUGGAAUCAAAAGCUUUAGUCACUUCACCGCCGGUCUUGUUUCGUAACACGCGCACCCAAGCGUACUUAGAUAAAAUAUCUAUACACAUUAUCAAAAUUUUUGCAUCAUUACUUUCCGCCAAAUUGCUCAUGCCGACUAAAUCAGCUUGCCAUUGUUCAUCUAUGUUUUUCACAAAAACCUUGUUUCUUUUAAACUUUGUAGACACCGGUUUAUGAAGAGUGUAUGCAUCUUGCUCAGCUAACCAGUUUUUUUUAUCUCGUCAUCAUUAAUUCUUUGUCCGAGUUUCUCAACUAUAGCCCUUUGCAAACUCUCAACACCUCCGUACGAGCCGGGGUCAGACGGCGUGUAAUACACAUUCUUCAACAGCCGCUCAUUCAUUUUGAAGUAUCAGAAUGCCAAUGAUCAAAACAACGAAUAGUUUUAGGAUUUUAUUUUAAAAAGACAUCACGUGACUAGUGUUACAAUUUUUAUUUAUUUAUUUAUUUCUGCAUCAAAAU